GACGAACGCUGGCGGCGUGCCUAACACAUGCAAGUCGAACGGAAAGGCCCUGCUUUUGUGGGGUGCUCGAGUGGCGAACGGGUGAGUAACACGUGAGUAACCUGCCCUUGACUUUGGGAUAACUUCAGGAAACUGGGGCUAAUACCGGAUAGGAGCUCCUGCUGCAUGGUGGGGGUUGGAAAGUUUCGGCGGUUGGGGAUGGACUCGCGGCUUAUCAGCUUGUUGGUGGGGUAGUGGCUUACCAAGGCUUUGACGGGUAGCCGGCCUGAGAGGGUGACCGGCCACAUUGGGACUGAGAUACGGCCCAGACUCCUACGGGAGGCAGCAGUGGGGAAUAUUGCACAAUGGGCGGAAGCCUGUUGCAGCAACGCCGCGUGCGGGAUGACGGCCUUCGGGUUGUAAACCGCUUUCGCCUGUGACGAAGCGUGAGUGACGGUAAUGGGUAAAGAAGCACCGGCUAACUACGUG
Molecule: ribosomal RNA, 468 nt
Filed under: uncultured bacterium
Lineage: Bacteria
Description: partial 16S ribosomal RNA
Rfam family: Bacterial small subunit ribosomal RNA
Source: RNAcentral